GAUGAAGAACGCAGCAAAAUGCGAUAAGUAAUGUGAAUUGCAGAAUUCAGUGAAUCAUCGAAUCUUUGAACGCACAUUGCGCCCGCCAGUAUUCUGGCGGGCAUGCCUGUUCGAGCGUCAUUUCAACCCUCAAGCACAGCUUGGUGUUGGGACUCGCGUUAAUUCGCGUUCCCCAAAUUGAUUGGCGGUCACGUCGAGCUUCCAUAGCGUAGUAGUAAAACCCUCGUUACUGGUAAUCGUCGCGGCCACGCCGUUAAACCCCAACUUCUGAAUGUUGACCUCGGAUCAGGUAGGAAUACCCGCUGAACUUAAGCAUAUCAUUAAGCGGAGGA
This 332-nucleotide unclassified non-coding RNA is filed under the name soil metagenome. RNAcentral describes it as "partial contains 5.8S ribosomal RNA, internal transcribed spacer 2, and large subunit ribosomal RNA". The stretch from base 1 to 120 matches the Rfam family "5.8S ribosomal RNA", at positions 35 to 154 of the family's 154-position model. The record is from RNAcentral.